CAGUCGCGGUAAGACAAGGGAGACGAGUGUUAUUCAUCUUUAUUCGGUAUAUAGGGUACCUAGACUGUGUAGAAAGGCUUUUAAAAUAGUACCUAUUACACUAGAGUUUAAUAUGUGAGAGGGAGAUGUCAGAAUUAUAGGUGGACCAGAUGAAAUGGUUUAAUACCUAUAGGACUGAUAACGGCGAAGGCAAACCUCUAUGUAUAUAUAUUUUAAUUAUUUGUAAUAAAAUAAGAUAAAAUAUUAAACUGACGUUGAGGGACGAAGGCUCAGAGAGUGAAGAGGAUUAGAUACCCCCGUAGCCUGGGCAGACAAUGAUGAGUGCCAUAGGUUGGCUUUAGGCUGAACUAUAAAUGAAAGUGGAAGCACUCCACCUCAAGAGUAAUGUGGCAACGCAGGAACUGAAAUCAUUAGACCGUUUCUGAAACCAGUAGUGAAGUAUGUUAUUUAAUUCGAUGAUCCUCGAAUAACCUUACCACAAUUUGAAUGCUCUAAAAUUAUAGCUAUAUGGUUAGUAUAACAUAUAGUUAAAUUAAAUAUAAUAUAUUAUUAUAUUUUUUAGACCACAUGCGUUGCAUGGCUGUCUUCAGUUAAUGUCGUGAGAUUUGGUUAGGUCCAUUAAAUUAACGUAAACCCUUGUCUUAUUUAAUAUAAUAAGGCAGCUCUCCGCUUACAUUGGAUGUGAUAA
RNAcentral lists this ribosomal RNA (688 nucleotides) under Ulospora bilgramii. Its description in RNAcentral is "SSU rRNA". It matches the Rfam family "Bacterial small subunit ribosomal RNA", at positions 512 to 1161 of the family's 1533-position model. The record is from RNAcentral. Lineage: Eukaryota; Fungi; Ascomycota; Dothideomycetes; Pleosporales; Testudinaceae.